AGCGCAUUCAAGGCUCUUAAGAAGCCUUCAUUGUCAAAUCUAACUGAUGAUCAGUUCAAAUCAGUGCUCCUUUACCAUGCCUUGCCACGAUACUAUGCCCUUGCGGACUUCAAUGACCUAAGUGAGAAAGGCCUUAUUAGUACACUUGCUGGUGGCCAAUACACUUUGCAAUUCAACGAUGAGUCUGGUACCGUCCGCCUCGAUUCCGGAUGGAGCAAAACAAAAGUCACUAGCGCAGUACAUACGUCCAAGCCAGUCGCAGUCUAUCAAAUCGAUAAGGUC
This 282-nucleotide long non-coding RNA is filed under the name Gossypium barbadense (sea-island cotton). Its description in RNAcentral is "long non-coding RNA (GBAR_LNC006866)". Lineage: Eukaryota; Viridiplantae; Streptophyta; Magnoliopsida; Malvales; Malvaceae. The record is from RNAcentral.